Molecule: ribosomal RNA, 253 nt
Filed under: uncultured bacterium
Lineage: Bacteria
Description: partial 16S ribosomal RNA
Rfam family: Bacterial small subunit ribosomal RNA
Source: RNAcentral
UACGUAGGGGGCAAGCGUUGUCCGGAAUUACUGGGUGUAAAGGGCGCGUAGGCGGGGAUGCAAGUCAGAUGUGAAAUUCCGGGGCUUAACCCCGGGGCUGCAUCUGAAACUGUAUCUCUUGAGUGCUGGAGAGGAAAGCGGAAUUCCCAGUGUAGCAGUGAAAUGCGUAGAUAUCGGGAGGAACAUCAGUGGCGAAGGCGGCUUUCUGGCCUGUAACUGACGCUGAGGCGCGAAAGCGUGGGGAGCAAACAGG